UCUUUAUUAAUAUAUAUAGUAUAUUUAAUUUCCAAUUAAAAAGAUUGAUUAUCAAAUAAAGAA
Molecule: transfer RNA, 63 nt
Filed under: Blattisocius keegani
Lineage: Eukaryota; Metazoa; Arthropoda; Arachnida; Mesostigmata; Blattisociidae
Description: tRNA-Gly
Source: RNAcentral